CCCUUCUCCGGCUGGAAUCAGCAGUUCUGUUAGUGACGUCAUAGGCGUGCGCCGACCAGAGCUGGCUGAACCCCUUGGAGGGUGAGGGGGAACAAGGAGAGAGAGAGAGGGGGAACAUGGAGAGAGAGAGAGAAGGAGAGAUGGAAGGUGAUUGGGCACCAUGGAGAGAUAUUGAAGAUGAGGGCAAAUGGAGAGAGAGAGAAGGAGAGGGGGGCAACAUGGUGGGAGAGAGAGAAGGAGAGGGGGGCAACAUGGUGGGAGAGAGAUGGAUGAAUAGAAUAACAAUGAAGGUAACUGGUUUGUUUGCAGUGAGACCUUGUUGCUGAUUUUCAGAGCUUGAUCUAAAAUUAUUGUAAAGAAAAUAAAAAGUUUUAAAAUACUCUAAAAGCUGCCAUGACACUUGGAAAUUUUCUGUAUGAGAAUGACUGAUCUAUUUCAUUUUGUCCCAUCAAGUAAAUUCUCUGAUAUCUGAACUGCUUUUAAUCCAACAAGGUUAGCAUCUCCAUAAGGACCAGAGUUCAUGAUUUGGAGAAAGCAAGUCAUCAAGUGACUCCCGGAGAACAAACUAGCAGAAGGUGGAUGUGAUUGAUAAUUCAGAGAUGGACUAUCAGCUUAAUGGACAGGUAC
Molecule: non-coding RNA, 627 nt
Organism: Pelobates cultripes (western spadefoot toad)
Lineage: Eukaryota; Metazoa; Chordata; Amphibia; Anura; Pelobatidae
Source: the annotation of a GenBank genome assembly